CUGGAGCUCAGAAGAAGCAGG
RNAcentral lists this microRNA (21 nucleotides) under Eptesicus fuscus (big brown bat). RNAcentral describes it as "efu-miR-9233". Lineage: Eukaryota; Metazoa; Chordata; Mammalia; Chiroptera; Vespertilionidae. The record is from miRBase by way of RNAcentral.